AUACGGAGGGUGCGAGCGUUAAUCGGAUUUACUGGGCGUAAAGCGUGCGUAGGCGGUUUGCUAAGUCAGAUGUGAAAGCCCCGGGCUUAACCUGGGAACUGCAUUUGAUACUGGCAGACUAGAGUAUGAUAGAGGGGGGUAGAAUUCCUGGUGUAGCGGUGAAAUGCGUAGAUAUCAGGAGGAAUACCAGUGGCGAAGGCGGCCCCCUGGAUCAAUACUGACGCUGAGGUACGAAAGCGUGGGGAGCGAACAGGAUUAGAAACCCUAGUAGUCC
RNAcentral lists this ribosomal RNA (274 nucleotides) under uncultured bacterium. RNAcentral describes it as "partial 16S ribosomal RNA". It matches the Rfam family "Bacterial small subunit ribosomal RNA", at positions 523 to 796 of the family's 1533-position model. The record is from RNAcentral.